AUAAACUAACAUUUUAAAAGUGAUUUUUUUUUUAAUUGAUACGGAGACAGUUCAGGGGUUCUCAAACUGGGGGUUGGGACCCCUCAGGGUCAUAAGGUUGUUACCUGGGGGGUUGCGAGCUCUCAGGCUCCACCCCAAGCCCUGCUUUGCCUCCAGCAUUUAUAAUGUUUAAAUAUAUAAAAAAGUGUUUUUAAUUUAUACGGGGGGGUCGCACUCAGUGGCUUGCUGUGUGAACGGGGUCACCAGUACAAAGGUUUGAGAACCAUUGAGAUAGAUGUAUCCAGAUCUCCCAUCUGAGGCCUUUUCUAAAUAUGGAACUUGAUUUCAUUUGAUUAUCAUUUUUGAAAUUGUAUUUGAAAAAGUGUUGUUUAGAACAUGAAUGACAGAAAAAAGUGACCACUUACUGUCAGUUUACCAAAGGUAUGCUUUUUAGGGUUCUUUGUGGUCUGAGACUCUAGUAGUAAAACUUUCUGCAACAUUAAGUUUUCGGAGAACAUUCAACUCUCUUGAUCUAAGGCUGGUAAUUGCUUGUCUUGGUGUAGGUGAAGAUGGAGAUAGCAAGUGAACUUGGCUAAUCUUGUGGCCAGUACUCACUUCAGUUGAUUAUAGAAUUGCUCAUCAUUAUGUAAUUGAUCCCUUUACAGUCAGGGUUUCACAAAUGUAUCACAUGGCUGUAGAAUGAGUAAAAUGCUCUGAAUUUGUACAUAUAGAACAGUGAUUCUCAAUGUGGAGGUUGCUUGCAGCCCAAUCAGCACACAGCUGCGGCCCAUGUGAUAUCUUCAGGGCCAUAUAGGUAGUAUAUAUGUUGUGUGGAUGGGGCCCACAAUGGUAAAUAGGUUGAGAAUUACUGAUAUAGAGCGUAAUUCCCAUAGUCUGUUUAAAAAUUACUCUUAGCUGUGGUUCGUUGUUUAGUAUUGGAAGUCUUAAUUUAAAUUGUAAUAUACUUGUCUGAUUGCUCUUCUGAUAGGCUAGGAAGAACAGUUUUUUAAAUACCUAAAUGCUGAUAAGAACUUUUUCAUAAAUAUUCUGAAAGUGAAUUCUGCAGGGUCUCUGCAGUUCCACAGUCGGGGAGAGGGGAAAACAAGGGGGAUUAGACAUCAUUUUUAACUUCUCAUAAGCAGACCUGAAAGUUAGUAUCUCCUGUGAUCCAUAAAUACAGAUGAAAAGGGGAACUGUCAUAAUUGUCUUCAGGUCAUGAAUGGAUUGUGGCUUGAAACCUUGAACUUGCUGAGACCACCUUAGAGCCAUGUAGUUCUAGUCAUCCAGAAUUCCUAAAGACGUACAGGGCCCGAUCCUGAAGUCAGCGGAAGUUUUGCCUGAACAUGGACUGUAGGAUCUGGCUCAAAUUGGAUGUCUCAAUUAACAUAAGACAAGGAAUCAUUGCAUUCUUCCAGUCUGUUAAAAGGAUUGGUCUUUAUCUGAUCAGUUUGGAAUCCAAGGUCUGAUCUUGUUUUCAGUUCUUAGUAAUAUGAGGACUGUUAAGAUUGGGCUUCUAGUCAGAAUGUCUUAUGUAACUUACAGUACAUAUCGUGUGUGCUAGAUCAUGCUGUCCUUUGGAAUAUUUUAUUAUAUGUAUUGCAGUAGUGCUUAGUAGCCACAUCUGUUGUUAGUGUUAAUGUAAUAAAAUGGUCUCUGGAAUACAGACUCUAACUCAACAUUUUUUUUUAAUGUGGGGAGUCCCCACACCUCUCUCCAGUGGGCACAAAGAACAUGCUAGAUGCGGGCAACAGAUAAGCCCUCUGUUGUCCCGAGUCUUAGCAUUAACUAAGGUCUCUAUCUGGUAGGAUUGUGAAGAAAACCUUUAAAAAAAAAUUACCAGUAUUCACUGAUAUAGCAGUGUCUACAUGAGUUUGCAGAAAGCAUGAUACAAUAGCUGUUUGUGAAAUGCCCUAUUCAUUUCAAUAGGUGCUAACUCAAAUUCUGAUUAUACUUUAAAAGGCAAAAUUAAUUGCUCAUCAAAAAUGUAAGAAAGGAAACUUGUGAAAAUCUACUGUAUUGUCUCAUUUCAGGAAAGCUUUUAACAAUACAUGAUAAAGUUGGAGGGGCUGUGUUUGGUUUUCUUUUUCUAAAGAGGUGGGUGGGAGUUGGAUUUGGCAUUGAGAAGUUCAGGAAAUGUUGUUGUAACUUGAUGACUGUUCAGAAAUACUGUAUUUUGCAAAAUGUCAUGUAAUGUUUGCUAUUAACUUGUUGGAAAAAAAAAUUAAGUUGGUAGACAACUUCAAUUUCAGUGUUCACGUUAUAAAGACCUUUACUUAUUCCACCAUUAGCUGUUCUGAAGCAAAGUUUUUUAAGUCUGACAAAUUACAAGAAAAACUAACUCUUGGGUUUUUGGGUUUUUUUAAGUUCUUCUCGCAUAAUGGAGACAAUAAAAAAACAAAUGAUUGAA
Molecule: long non-coding RNA, 2386 nt
Organism: Dermochelys coriacea (leatherback sea turtle)
Lineage: Eukaryota; Metazoa; Chordata; Testudines; Dermochelyidae
Exons: 4
Source: RefSeq, a predicted model, not a curated record